UAGAAAAACAUUAUUGUUCAAUCUCUGAAGAAACAAUAGUGUCAGGCAACGAAUGGUCAUCAUCAGUGACUGCUAACAUCAUGAGGUGAAAGGUUUCUUUAGAAUGUCACAAUGAAAAGUUUCAGUGUGGCAGGGUGGCUCACACUUGUAAUCCCAGCACUCGGGAGACUGAGGUGGGAACAUGGGGAGUGUGAGGUUAUCCUUGGCUUUAUAGCAAGUUUCAAAAUCUAGUCCAGGAUACAGGAGACCUUGUCGAAGAAGAGGAAGAAGAAGAAGAAGAAGAAGAAGAAGAAGAAGAAGAAGAAGAAGAAGAAGAAGAAGAAGAAGAAGAAGAAGAAGAAGAAGAGAAAGAAAGGCAGACACCGUUAGCAUCUGCACUGCCGAUAAAACCUUAGAGUAUCUGAAGAGAUAGCUCUGUGCCUCCUUGGUUGAACCUGAAUCUACAUCCCUUCAGGCUGACAUCUAUUUUACAGGAAUAAGGAAAAUAAAUAAGUUAGCAUACAUCAUAAGGAGGCAAACAGACAAAUCAGGAAUAUAGGAUUUGCCUCUGUAGGGCAAUGUUGUAGUUUUCUGUUUUAAGAAAUCACUGAUAUGAGCAAAGUGCGGUGAAAAGGAAAGGAACAACGCCAUACAAAUAGUUUAUAGGUCAGCACAAGCUAACCGGGAACAUGGCUUGAAGGCAGCCGUAAGAGCUCAGCUAAGCACAGAGUAUUAUAUGGGGAACUGGUUGAUUUGGUUAGGUGUGAUAAUAGCUUUAUUUUAUAUAAGAAAAUAGGCUUUGAUGUAUUGGUUUUAUUUUUAGAUGUGAUAUACAGAAGGAUAGACUAGCUAGGACAAGUAGUAACAGUAAAAUUGGGCUAACUGUGAAAUCCAGGUGACACGAUUAAGGAGAGUUAUCAUCCUAUCCUCCAUACUUUGAUAGAUGUUAAAAAAGCAUUAAUUAACUUCCAGUCUUUAUUUAGAUAAGAAACCAUAUCUAAAGUUACCCCUGGCUCUAGGAGGUUCUACUUGAUCAAGCCACCAUUUAUUUCAGAUCUUCUGCUAUCUUCUUCCCCUAUUUAGUCUGUUCCAGUUACUGUCUGUCUGUUCCCUGACAGUUUCAUGGCAAGUAUACUGACUUUCCUGGGUGUUUUGAUCCCUCUGCCUGGACUAUCCUUCCCCUGGAGUAAGCAGGACUGGGCCCUCUCAUUCAGAUCUCUGCUCAAGUAAUACAUUACUGGGGGCCUCUCUUGCGGCUAUAGUUAAAAUAUAAUUCCCUGCUACCUACUGAUCGCUAAUUAAACUUUCUUCAAUUUUCUUCCUGGCAGUAACUGAUAGGAACAUGACAGUGCUGCUUUCUUGUCUGCCUGUCCAGUUAUUUUAUUUCAGCUGCCAGCCCAGCAUCCCGACCAGUGCCUGCCCCCUAGUAGGAAUUCUCUAAUUCUAUAUUAGAAGAGUGUAUGACAUCUUGAGGACAUGGAGCGCCACAUCACGAUGACACGCCUGCUAACGUGCUAAUCCUCUAGGAACACAGUGUGCCGGCCUGACCUCUGUGUGUCAUAUGGUAUGGGUGAUCUUGGGGAUAAAGAUAAGGCAUCUAGCAGACUCUGCUUGUCUUCAGGGAGGAUUUGUUUGUACAGAUGCUUUGAGACUAUUGCCUGGCUGACCUCCAGGCAGCCUGGUUUGUAAAGGGGGUGGAGUUCUCCUCUAGCUAUCUGUCCAACUGCUGCUUCCUGACUCACCCAAUUCCUGUCCCAGGCCAUCCCUAAGCUCUAUUUUCUUCUAGUUGCUAUGGGAAACAAGAAAGCUGGUGGUUGAGAAAAACUCUACCAGAUCUGGGUGAGUCCAUACUACAGGCCCUAAAUCCUCCCCCCCCAUUUUUUUCUUCCUUACACAGUACAUCCGAAGAUUGCGGUGCGGAGAUGCUCUGAAUAGUUUUCUCCACGACAGUCUUGGGUCAGGGGACUGGUAGUAAGUUUUAAGGCCUCUUCUAACAGGGAAUUCUGCCCCUCCCAUCUGUUUUCCCUGUAUACUCUCUCCAUCGCCCAGCUUGAUCCUUCCAUGUCCUGCAGUCACGGGACAGGAUUCAACUUGGGCCUUUGGCAUCCUAGGGACACCUAUUGAGAGAUAGCUGGGCAGAAAUUUCAUUCAACUAUCUUGCGCUCUACACAUUCUAAAGGACAUUAGACAAUACUGUGAUGCAUGUUUGGGUGCUUGGGUAAUAGUGUUGUCUCAUUGAAAUUUGGAACAAGGAUGUCACAAUUUCCUGGUAAGUAUUGUCAAGGGCAUUCUUUAUUAUCCCCCAAACCUUCCAAGUGCAUUUAAGAUAUUCUUAAUGUUACACUUUUAUUUUUCAGAAGCGAACAUGACAAGUGGCAACUUGCUUUUGCAAAAGACAUUAAAGAACCUCAGAGUAAUAAAGUGUAUAUCUCAUAAAGAUAGCAGUCUAAGAAAUAUUAUAUAACUAUUAAAGAAAAUCUUAUUAGGCAACAGCAGAGAUAGCUCAGUUGGUAAAGUGCUUGGCAAACAAACAUGAGACACUGAGUUCGAUCCCCAGCAUGCAACCACGUAAAAAGCCAGGCAGCCAGGGUCUGUAAAGUCAGGGCUGUGAAGGUGAGGCAGGAAGUUAUCUGGAGCUGCCCGCCAGCCAGCCUCGCUGAAUUGCUAAAAAUUCCAGGCCUUGGUUUGUAUUUCUCAGCACUGUGAAUUCGUGGUAGCAUUAGAUAACAGAAUGUUCAGUUCGAUCUCACUGAUACUCGGUUGCAAAUAACAAGCAUCUUCUUGGCUGAGUUCUAGUAACCUUGCUGUAAUGAAAGUGAUCUCUGCUGGGCUCUGUGCACAUCCUUCCUUAGUUUUGCUGCUCUACCCAACAAGUUUGCCCGUAGCUGGCACACUAGAUGGGAUACCUUCCUUUGAUAGCGCACUCUGCUUGUUUUUAUGUGCUCAAAGAGAAACAAUGCUUUUGCCAAAAACAGUUACUUGGCUCAUUAUCUACUAUUUGAGUCCAAAAAUCAAAGCAGUGCGUUUCAGUUUUGUCACAACUUUUGUUGAUGCUUUAAACUGCUUGGACAUUUCUCAAACCCUGGAAAACUGAAAAGCUGUUCAACUGGAAGGAAACUGACCAAAAAUAACUGAAGAACAGUGUAAAGGGGAUCAGAUUUCAUGGCCUCUCCCAUUGCAGACUUUUAGUGGCUUCCUCUUCAGUAACUUAGAAUAGGCGCUGGAGACGGGUCUGUUGUUAUCAGCACAUACUGGUCUCACAGUAGACCUGAGUUUUGUCCCCAGCACACGCUCAGUCAGCUCACAACUGCUUGUAACUCCAGCUCCAGGGGAUCUGAUAUCUCUGGGCUCUUCAGGUACCACCCCCAUACACAUGCACACAUACCCCCCCCACACCUAAGCAUAAUUAAAAUAAGAAAAUAAAUCUUUAAGAAAUACUUACACUACCAUCCCAAGCACUUGCCCAGACCUAAGAAAGUUGACACCUGCUUUCCCUCGCCCUAAACCAGUCUCCUUCCUCCAGUUCACCUGGCCCUCAGCUUGUGAACAGUUGACGUCAUCAGUAUAAACAGGACUUUGGACCUUACUGUGAGGAUUUUAAUUGUGAGAAAAAGGGCUUGCCUAUAAAUGUAACUCUGUUGCUUUCUUACUUUUUAUUCUAUUCUCCCCCCCACACACUUUGGCCACAAUUAGAAAAAAGUGUAAGUAACUGUGUUGACAGACAUUCUGUGUGUGUGUGUGUGUGUGUGUGUGUAUGUGUAAGUGCAUGUGUGGGUGUGCACAUUUGUGUGCACAUAUGUGGAGGCCAGAUCUGGUGCAGGCCUGGUGUUGGUAACCAUAGCUGCUGUAAUUUCAUGAGUACAAGGGCCACGUUGUGUUCAGAAGACAGUGUUUCACAACAUUCCCUUCCGUCCUCUUUCACAGGUUUUUCACCUUCUCCUUCAUGGUGUUCCCUGAGCCUUGGGGAUAGGGGUGAUGCAGAUGUCUGGGACUAAAUGCUCACCAGUCUCUUCCUGAGCACCAUGUGUCUUUACAUUAACUGUUGCCUGUGACAAAAUGAAACUCUUCUGAAGACCAGGAAUGGAGCAGUACUAAAAUCUGUGGCUAUAAAUCACUGUUUUAGGUCAUGGGGAUACACCAGUGAACACAAAGGAAGAAGAAAAAUCUCCAUACUCAUGGUGUUUAUCAGCAAUGGAGGAGGCCAUGGGAAGAAUAGUAAGCAGUGAAGUCAGGGAAGUGGCCGAAGACCAGCUUCUUCAAGACCUUUUGCUCUGUGUGGCCUGAGAGUCAUUGGGAGCAUUUUGAGAUAUGAUACAACUUGACUCAUGGUUACCAGGAUUGUUCUAGCUACAACUGGGAAUAGAAUCUUGGUGGGGGAAGCAAGAACAGAGGCAGAAAGAGCAGUUCCAAGAGUUGUAAUGAUCCAGUAGAGAGAUAAUGGGUGCUUAGAUAGUAGUUCUAAUGUAUGGGGAUAGUAGUUGGGAUGUAAAGGAGCUGGAGUCUGCAUAUGUUUUGUUAUGAUAUGUGCAUGUAUUUGUCAUCUACAUUAGACUGUGAGUCCACAAGUGCCAGAUAUUGUUUAUUCCUGUAUUUCAAUGUCCUAUACUAACCUUGAUACACAGUAGGUAUUUGACAGCUGCUGCUAACACUCUCUGGGGAAUCCCCUGAUCGGUCAUGCCCUGAACUCUCAGCCAGUCCCUUCAUUGCCCUUGGGUGGUUGGUGCGGGGAGGGGGGGGGAAGAGGGGGAAGUGGUGCAGGAGAAUUGUCUGUAUUCUGUCAAUCAUGUUAUAAAUAAACGCUGAUUGGCUAGGCUGGAAAUAUAGGCAGGAAAACCAGACAGGAAGUAGAAAUGAUGCAAUGAGAACAGGAGAAUUCUGGAAAGGAGGAAGUUGAUUACUCCCAUUCCUGCCCAGACCACCGAAGCAGAAGGAUGUGAUCUGCCUCACUGAAAAAAGGUACUGAGCCACAUGGCUAACAUAGAUCAGAAAAAUGGGUUAAUCAAGAUGUGAGAUUUAGCCAGUGAGAGGCUAGAGCUAAUGGGCCAAUCAGCUUAUAAUUUA
Molecule: long non-coding RNA, 5040 nt
Organism: Alexandromys fortis (reed vole)
Lineage: Eukaryota; Metazoa; Chordata; Mammalia; Rodentia; Cricetidae
Exons: 2
Source: RefSeq, a predicted model, not a curated record